UACGUAGGUGGCGAGCGUUGUCCGGAUUUACUGGGCGUAAAGGGAGCGUAGGCGGACUUUUAAGUAAGAUGUGAAAUACCCGGGCUCAACUUGGGUGCUGCAUUUCAAACUGGAAGUCUAGAGUGCAGGAGAGGAGAAUGGAAUUCCUAGUGUAGCGGUGAAAUGCGUAGAGAUUAGGAAGAACACCAGUGGCGAAGGCGAUUCUCUGGACUGUAACUGACGCUGAGGCUCGAAAGCGUGGGGAGCAAAC
Molecule: ribosomal RNA, 250 nt
Filed under: uncultured prokaryote
Description: partial 16S ribosomal RNA
Rfam family: Bacterial small subunit ribosomal RNA
Source: RNAcentral